GAAUCUUCCACAAUGGACGAAAGUCUGAUGGAGCAAUGCCGCGUGAGUGAAGACGGUUUUCGGAUCGUAAAACUCCGUUGUGAGGGAAGAACAAGUAUGAGAGUCACUGCUCGUACCUUGACGGUACCUCCUUAGAAAGCACCGGCUAACUACGUGCCAGCAGCCGCGGUAAUACGUAGGUGGCAAGCGUUGUCCGGAAUUAUUGGGCGUAAAGCGCGCGCAUGCGGUCCUUUAAGUCUGAUGUGAAAUCCCACGGCUCAACCGUGGAAGGUCAUUGGAAACUGGGGGACUUGAGUACAGAAGAGGAAAGCGGAAUUCCAAGUGUAGCGGUGAAAUGCGUAGAGAUGUGGAGGAACACCAGUGGCGAAGGCGGCUUUCUGGUCUGUAACUGACGCUGAGGCGCGAAAGCGUGGGGAGCAAACA
Molecule: ribosomal RNA, 423 nt
Filed under: uncultured bacterium
Lineage: Bacteria
Description: partial 16S ribosomal RNA
Rfam family: Bacterial small subunit ribosomal RNA
Source: RNAcentral